GAUGAACGCUGGCGGCGUGCCUCAAACAUGCAAGUCGAGCGGGGCUAUGUAAUAUCGCAAGGUAGAACAUAGCCUAGCGGCGAACGGGUGAGUAACACGUGGGUAACCUGCCUGGAAGACAGGGAUAACGAUUCGAAAGGGUCGCUAAUACCUGAUAAUAUCCUUUCAUCGCAUGGUGAUAGGAAGAAAGGGGAAACCCGCUUUCAGAUGGGCCCGCGUCCCAUCAGCUAGUUGGUAAGGUAAAGGCUUACCAAGGCGACGACGGGUAGCCGGUCUGAGAGGAUGUACGGCCACACUGGGACUGAGAUACGGCCCAGACUCCUACGGGAGGCAGCAGUUGGGAAUCUUAGGCAAUGGACGAAAGUCUGACCUAGCGACGCCGCGUGAGGGAAGAAGGCCUUCGGGUUGUAAACCUCUGUCAUGGGGGAAGAGUAAGUGACGGUACCCCAAGAGGAAGCCCCUGCUAACUACGUGCCAGGCAGCCGCGGUAAAAGUACUCUAU
RNAcentral lists this ribosomal RNA (502 nucleotides) under uncultured bacterium. Its description in RNAcentral is "bacterial SSU rRNA". It matches the Rfam family "Bacterial small subunit ribosomal RNA", at positions 28 to 530 of the family's 1533-position model. The record is from RNAcentral.